CGCCCAGCUGCAGUGUGACCCCGCCAGUCCCGGAAACUCUCCAAACCCAGGACCUCAACGGACGUCCGGCAACUCAGAGGGGAGGCAGCAGGGCCUGCCAGGACGGAGGGCGUGUGGGACGCCUCUGAGGUCCCGUUGAGAAAGGAAGAGCUGUGUUUUAUCCUACUCUAGAGUCAGAAGGCUGUGUGAUGUCCUCCCAGUGUUAACAGAAGUAGCUGGGCGGCCUUCAGAAAUGCUUUUCAUCCCCAGAUGCUGGCAUUGGGCGGUGCACAUAUCCUGGAUUUAUUAAUUUUUAAAAAGUUGCCACUUGUUGAAGAGUGUUUAUCAUGUGCUGGGCACUUGCUCAGUUUGCUCCCUACAUGGAUCCUUCACCAGCUCAGGGAGAUACAAUGACAUUAUCAUUGUGCCCUUUUCAUAGAUGAGGAAACUGAAGCUCAAGGGCAAGGGUUACUUGCUCAAGGUCACAGAAAUACUAACUACUGGAGUCCGGAUUCAAAACCAGGUAGGUCUGGCUGAUUUCAGACCGCAGCUUCUUAAUUUUCCUAGAAGGCAGGAACCGAAGUUCAUACACCCUUGCGGAAUACCUAGACCUGACAGGUACCCAAUAAAGAAGCAUUGAAUAGAGCUUGACACAUUUUCGGGGGUCUGAUUCUCUCCAUUAUAGUCUGAUGAAAUGACAGACUGGGCAAAAGUACGUAUCUCAGCGACAAGCAUACAGUUGGUCCACAUACAUCUAAAGAUGUCGGGAGUCUGGCAGAGGGGAGGAAAGACACCUGCUUUCUUUGCUGAUGCCGCUGAGGGAGCCCUUCUGUCUGCCUGGAUGGAGGUAGCCUGGAGGCUUCUGGACCUAGAAGCUUGGCUUGCACAGAACUCUGAGAGGCUGGGUCUCGCUGUCUGGCCCAGGUGUGUGAGAUGUGAUGACUGUGUCCUGCAGUGAAGGAUGCUGGGUGAGUCGGGUCUUGUGAAAGAGGAAGGGGCCUGUGGUGGGCCAGGUAGGCUGACUCCAGGUCCUCUCGUCCCCUCAAGGUGCACUUGGCUUGCUUCCUCAUUCCCUGCCUCCUGGCCUGCCUGUCUUCAACUCUCCUUGAAGUGGUCAGGAUAGUACUGUUCCAUACUUCCAACAGUUCAAGCCUCUCCGGCUGGGUCUUAUCCAAUCCACACUGACGUGGAAUCAGAGUCCAGGCAGAAAACAUAACCUAUUCCAGAAACCUCAGCCGAGGGAAACCAGUUAUAAAGGCAUUGGAAGAGAUGAAAGGGCAGAUGUGGGUGAAAGCUGGCCUUGAGAGUAGCAGCCACGGGAAAAAAACGACACCAUGCCUGGUGGAAGUCUGGAGCAGAGAGAGUGUUUCCAGAACCCAGG
Molecule: long non-coding RNA, 1360 nt
Filed under: Bos mutus (wild yak)
Lineage: Eukaryota; Metazoa; Chordata; Mammalia; Artiodactyla; Bovidae
Description: lncRNA (ENSBMUG00000012240.1)
Source: RNAcentral